This 350-nucleotide ribosomal RNA is filed under the name Betaproteobacteria bacterium. Its description in RNAcentral is "bacterial SSU rRNA". It matches the Rfam family "Bacterial small subunit ribosomal RNA", at positions 1 to 352 of the family's 1533-position model. The record is from RNAcentral. Lineage: Bacteria; Pseudomonadati; Pseudomonadota; Betaproteobacteria.
AUUGAACUGAAGAGUUUGAUCCUGGCUCAGAUUGAACGCUGGCGGAAUGCUUUACACAUGCAAGUCGAGCGGCAGCGCGGGGCAACCUGGCGGCGAGCGGCGAACGGGUGAGUAACAUAUCGGAACGUAUCCUUUAGUGGGGGAUAACGCAGCGAAAGCUGUGCUAAUACCGCAUACGAUCGGGAGAUGAAAGCGGGGGAUCGCAAGACCUCGCGCUAAAGGAGUGGCCGAUAUCAGAUUAGCUAGUUGGUGAGGUAAAGGCUCACCAAGGCGACGAUCUGUAGCUGGUCUGAGAGGAUGAUCAGCCACACUGGAACUGAGACACGGUCCAGACUCCUACGGGAGGCAGC